RNAcentral lists this ribosomal RNA (789 nucleotides) under uncultured Nevskia sp. Its description in RNAcentral is "bacterial SSU rRNA". It matches the Rfam family "Bacterial small subunit ribosomal RNA", at positions 1 to 752 of the family's 1533-position model. The record is from RNAcentral. Lineage: Bacteria; Pseudomonadati; Pseudomonadota; Gammaproteobacteria; Nevskiales; Nevskiaceae.
CGAUGGGCCGACGUCGCAUGCUCCGGCCGCCAUGGCGGCCGCGGGAAUCGAUUAGAGUUUGAUCAUGGAUCAGAUUGAACGCUGGCGGUAUGCCUAACACAUGCAAGUCGAACGAGGGUAGCAAUACUCUAGUGGCGGACGGGUGAGGAAUACGUAGGGAUCUGCCUUUAAGUGGGGGAUAACCCGGGGAACCCGGAUUAAUACCGCAUGAUCUCGCAAGAGCAAAGUGGGGGACCGCAAGGCCUCACGCUUUUAGAGGAACCUACGUCGGAUUAGCUUGUUGGUGAGGUAACGGCUCACCAAGGCGACGAUCCGUAACUGGUCUGAGAGGAUGAUCAGUCACACCGGAACUGAGACACGGUCCGGACUCCUACGGGAGGCAGCAGUGGGGAAUAUUGGACAAUGGGCGAAGCCUGAUCCAGCAAUACCGCGUGUGUGAAGAAGGCCUUCGGGUUGUAAAGCACUUUAAGUUGGGAAGAAAAAACUUUGUUUAAUACGCAAAGUCUUGACGGUACCGACAGAAUAAGCACCGGCUAACUCUGUGCCAGCAGCCGCGGUAAUACAGAGGGUGCUAGCGUUAAUCGGAUUUACUGGGCGUAAAAGCGUGCGUAGGCGGUUUGAUAAGUCGAUUGUGAAAGCCCUGGGCUCAACCUAGGAAUUGCGGUCGAUACUGUCAGACUAGAAAACGGUAGAGGGAGGCGGAACUCCAGGGGUAGCGGUGAAUUGCGUAGAUAUCUGGAAGAACACCGAUGGCGAAGGCAACCUCCUGGGCCGUUUUGGCGCUGAAGC